ACGGGUGAGUAAUGCGUGAGCAACCUGCCUUUCAGAGGGGGACAACAGCUGGAAACGGCUGCUAAUACCGCAUAACGUAUUCGGAUGGCAUCAUCUGAAUACCAAAGGAGCAAUUCGCUGAAAGAUGGGCUCACGUCUGAUUAGCUAGUUGGUGAGGUAACGGCUCACCAAGGCUGCGAUCAGUAGCCGGUCUGAGAGGAUGAACGGCCACAUUGGGACUGAGAUACGGCCCAGACUCCUACGGGAGGCAGCAGUGGGGAAUAUUGGGCAAUGGGGGAAACCCUGACCCAGCAACGCCGCGUGAAGGAAGAAGGCUUUCGGGUUGUAAACUUCUUUUAUGUGGGACGAAGAAGUGACGGUACCACAUGAAUAAGCCACGGCUAACUACGUGCCAGCAGCCGCGGUAAUACGUAGGUGGCGAGCGUUGUCCGGAUUUACUGGGUGUAAAGGGCGCGUAGGCGGGAAUGCAAGUCAGGUGUGAAAUCUAUGGGCUUAACCCAUAAACUGCACUUGAAACUGUAUUUCUUGAGUGAUGGAGAGGCAGGCGGAAUUCCUAGUGUAGCGGUGAAAUGCGUAGAUAUUAGGAGGAACACCAGUGGCGAAGGCGGCCUGCUGGACAUUAACUGACGCUGAGGCGCGAAAGCGUGGGGAGCAAACAGGAUUAGAUACCCUGGUAGUCCACGCUGUAAACGAUGAAUACUAGGUGUGGGGGGACUGACCCCCCUCCGUGCCGGAGUUAACACAAUAAGUAUUCCACCUGGGGAGUACGAUCGCAAGAUUGAAACUCAAAGGAAUUGACGGGGGCCCGCACAAGCAGUGGAUUAUGUGGUUUAAUUCGAAGCAACGCGAAGAACCUUACCAGGGCUUGACAUCCAACUAACGAAGCAGAGAUGCAUUAG
Molecule: ribosomal RNA, 899 nt
Filed under: uncultured bacterium
Lineage: Bacteria
Description: bacterial SSU rRNA
Rfam family: Bacterial small subunit ribosomal RNA
Source: RNAcentral